AUUGAACGCUGGCGGCAUGCUUUACACAUGCAAGUCGAGCGGCAGCGCGGCCUUCGGGCUGGCGGCGAGCGGCGAACGGGUGAGUAAUGCAUCGGAACAUGCCCAGUCGUGGGGGAUAACACUUCGAAAGAAGUGCUAAUACCGCAUACGUCCUGAGGGGGAAAGCGGGGGAUCACAAGACCUCGCGCGAUUGGAGUGGCCGAUGUCAGAUUAGCUAGUUGGUGGGGUAAAGGCCUACCAAGGCGACGAUCUGUAGCUGGUCUGAGAGGAUGAUCAGCCACACUGGGACUGAGACACGGCCCAGACUCCUACGGGAGGCAGCAGUGGGGAAUUUUGGACAAUGGGGGCAACCCUGAUCCAGCCAUUCCGCGUGAGUGAAGAAGGCCUUCGGGUUGUAAAGCUCUUUCGGCAGGAACGAAACGGUGUGCUCUAACAUAGUCCGCUAAUGACGGUACCUGAAGAAGAAGCACCGGCUAACUACGUG
This 484-nucleotide ribosomal RNA is filed under the name uncultured bacterium. RNAcentral describes it as "partial 16S ribosomal RNA". It matches the Rfam family "Bacterial small subunit ribosomal RNA", at positions 30 to 507 of the family's 1533-position model. The record is from RNAcentral.